UGAACCCACGGGGCGCAGCAGUGGGGAAUAUUGCGCAAUGGGCGAAAGCCUGACGCAGCGACGCCGCGUGAGGGAUGAAGGUCUUCGGAUCGUAAACCUCUGUCAGCAGGGAAGAACGGUCACUGUGCUAAUCAGCAGUGAAUUGACGGUACCUGCAAAGGAAGCACCGGCUAACUCCGUGCCAGCAGCCGCGGUAAUACGGAGGGUGCGUGCGUUAAUCGGAAUUACUGGGCGUAAAGCGCUCGUAGGCGGUAUGUCAAGUCAUGGAUGAAA
This 273-nucleotide ribosomal RNA is filed under the name uncultured bacterium. RNAcentral describes it as "partial 16S ribosomal RNA". It matches the Rfam family "Bacterial small subunit ribosomal RNA", at positions 333 to 599 of the family's 1533-position model. The record is from RNAcentral.